AAUAGAUACCCGGUAGUCCACCGCCGUAAACGGUGGGCACUAGGUGUGGGCAACAUUCCACGCUGUCCGUGCCGCAGCUAACGCAUUAAGUGCCCCGCCUGGGGAGUACGGCCGCAAGGCUAAAAACUCAAAGGAAAUUGACGGGGCCCGCACAAGCGGCGGAGCAUGUGGCUUAAUUCGACGCAACGCGAAGAACCUUACCAAGGCUUGACAUACACCGGAAACGUCUGGAGACAGGCGCCCCCUUGUGGUCGGUGUACAGGUGGUGCAUGGCUGUCGUCAGCUCGUGUCGUGAGAUGUUGGGUUAAGUCCCGCAACGAGCGCAACCCUUGUCCUAUGUUGCCAGCACGUAAUGGUGGGGACUCGUAGGAGACUGCCGGGGUCAACGUCGGAGGAAGGUGGGGACGACGUCAAGUCAUCGAUGCCCCUUAUAUCCAGGGCUGCAAACAUGCUACAAUGGCCGGUACAAAGGGCUGCUAUCCCGCGAGGGUGAGCGAAUCCCAAAAAGCCGGUCUCAGUUCGGAUUGGAGU
This 531-nucleotide ribosomal RNA is filed under the name uncultured bacterium. RNAcentral's name for it is "bacterial SSU rRNA". It matches the Rfam family "Bacterial small subunit ribosomal RNA", at positions 777 to 1304 of the family's 1533-position model. The record is from RNAcentral.